This 253-nucleotide ribosomal RNA is filed under the name uncultured bacterium. RNAcentral describes it as "partial 16S ribosomal RNA". It matches the Rfam family "Bacterial small subunit ribosomal RNA", at positions 524 to 776 of the family's 1533-position model. The record is from RNAcentral.
UACAGAGGGUGCGAGCGUUAAUCGGAAUUACUGGGCGUAAAGCGCACGUAGGUGGCGACGUAAGUCGGGUGUGAAAGCCCCGGGCUCAACCUGGGAAUUGCAUUCGAGACUGCAUUGCUGGAGUACGGAAGAGGAGGGCGGAAUUCCCGGUGUAGCGGUGAAAUGCGUAGAUAUCGGGAGGAACAUCAGUGGCGAAGGCGGCUUCCUGGACCGAUACUGACGCUGAGGCGCGAAAGCCAGGGGAGCAAACGGG